GAAGUUUUCAUGUACAAAAUUUCCAGAGUGCUCUUAGAGCCUUAAUUUGAGGCCAAAAAAAAUUAGAGACAAAGAAUCAUGUGACGAAGAUACAUCUUAUGCACGUAUGUUGGAUAUGUUCAUAUUAGUAUCUACUUAAAACUUGAAGAGAUCAUUAGCUUAGUAGUGAUCAAAUUACUCCAUUUUCUCUUACAGAUGAGGAAAUUGAGGCAAAGUGAAGUUAAAUGAUUUGACAAGGGUCACACGACUUGACAGAGUCUAAGGAAGGGAUUUAAUGGAGGUUCCUCACUCAAAAUCCAGCACCUCAUUCACUUUGCAAUGCUGCCCAACAUAAAGACUCUAACAUAAGAAAAGACAUUGAAUUUGAAAGAAACACUAUGUCCAGUCUACAAAGGGGAUGGUAAUAUAGAUGCUGAGCCCAGUGAUAGCACAUAUUGAUGAUAUAAUUCUGGCAAGAACAGAAGAAAGAAGAUUAAUAUUUAAAAUAUAUAAUAAAAUAUUCUUUCACUGAACCUCACAACAAUCCCAUAAGUUUUGAAGAAUCCACUCUGUGCUGCUUUGGAUAUCACUGCUGGAUACUGCUUAACUAUAUUUUCCACUGAUUCCAGCUUCUGACUGCUCUACUACCCAGUAACUUUGUGCCCUGAGUAUGAUGUUACAUGGGAACCAUCAUGUGGAAUGUCUUCUUCCAGCUCCUCCAAGAAACACAAUUAUCAAUCAUCAAUUAUAAUUAGCAAUUAUCUCUCUCUAGAAGAUCCAGUGCCUGGAUAUUGGAACUUAAGUUAUUAAGAGGGCAACUCUAAAAUUCGGUGCUUCCCUGGAAAUAGACUUUCUUUUUUUAAAAACUAUAUUCAAGGAUAAUAUCUCUUUGUGAAAUUCAGAAAUCCCCAUCUUAUACACAAAAUUUUGGGUUCGGAAAUCAACAUAUUGGAAUCCCCCUCUCAGAUGGCACAUAAAACAUUUGUCUAAUAUGACCUCGUGUCCAUUAUUUAAGAGGUCUUUUCCUUUGGAGGCGAAGAGGAGAAAGAAAUACCUUCUGCUCUCCUCACUGCAUACAACAAUAAGUACAAGGGGAAAACUGAAAACCAAGUCCUUGAAGCAUCGUCUAGAGCUCAGUCCUGAGUACUUCUUCGCGAGGCGAUUCUUUCUUCAGAGGUGUUCCCAACAGAUCAGAAAUGGAAAUUAAGUGAGA
This 1192-nucleotide long non-coding RNA is filed under the name Phascolarctos cinereus (koala). RNAcentral describes it as "lncRNA (ENSPCIG00000009944.2)". The record is from RNAcentral. Lineage: Eukaryota; Metazoa; Chordata; Mammalia; Diprotodontia; Phascolarctidae.